UCCCGGAAAGCGGCUGCCCAUGCUGGGGUGUUGGGAAGGGCCCAGGGCCUUUGAAAAGGGGCACCCCGAGAGCUCCUCCAAAGUGUGAGCUAAGGCUGUUUGGUAUUUUUCAAUUCUCUCCGGGGCUGCAGGAAGUUCUUCUUGGGCAGGGAUUGCAUCAUUCCCAGGGGCAUGAGCGGGCAUCCUGGUUUUAGAAGGCCUGCAUUUCCCCUUAGGGGCUCCUGCCCGAGGGUGUGCUCCUCUCUCUGCCCGGCUUACGGGGAGGGCCCCCCUGGCAUCAGGAGGACCAGCGACGACCAUGCCACGAGCCACCAUCUCUCCAGACCACCCCCCUUUCUCAUCAGACCCCAAGCUCUGCAGACUCCAUCUCCUUCGUGUCUCCCAUCCCACCCCUCCUCUCCGGCCUGGACCUCCGGGGUGCAAAUCUGGCCCCUUCCUCCAAGCUCAGUGCCCUCCCUGGUGCCUUCCUCCAUAUGCCAUGAAAUGGAAACACACACUCCCAAGGCCCCCAGACCAGCCACAGCUCCUGACGUUCCCUUCCCUUGAAGCUCAGUGGUACGACCCCAUUUAGUCCAUCCCCCCAGCUGGCCCCUGCACACGCCCCCCUGGGUGGCCCUCCCUGGGGAGCCUGUGUUCUCCCCACUCCACCCCACCCCGGGAAAUGGCUCCGGCUCCCCUGUCCUUGGCUCCCCCCCCCCAUGCCCUGUGCAUCCUUUCCUUAGGACAUGCAGUGAAUUCCCUCACUCGCUCACCCACCAACAGUCUGUCCCCCACUUCUAGAGUGGGGCUUCAGGAUUCCCAAGGGGUGAGGUGUCCCUUUCUAACAAGGCUACCCCUGGGCAUCCUGACCAAAGUGUCCACCCCGGCCCUGUACCAGUCACCAUCGACUGGGGGCCUUCUUCCAGGCCUCCUGCUCUCUGCAAGUGCCUGACUUUAGUGUUAAUUUUCUCUCUCUCUCCCCAAGACUGCAGGGUUUCUCACUGCAGGGUGUCUUGUCCCUGUCUUGUUCUCUGCUGUGUCCCCAGCGCUGGGACCCAUGCCAGACCCAUAGGAGAGGAACAGUGAAUGUUUGUUGAUUGACUAACAGAGUCCCCAAAGGCCCCUGGGCCAUGUGGGGUUAAUCCCUGGGAAGUGCCAGCACAAAGGGGACACCCAGUGAGACAGGCCGACUGAGUCCGUGAACGUGGCUGUGGGUGUUUAGAGGCCCCUCACAGUUGAGGGGUUUUGGUUUUCCAGCUUCCCCUCCCCUUGCAGGAUGUCGUUGGAGACUCUGAGGUUUGCUGCCGCAGGGGCAGGUCAGCCAGUCUGGGGUAGUUUCCCCACGUUCCAGGUGGGGCCAGUAAGGCCCCCAAAACACCGACGAGCCCCAGUUUUACCCACAGACACCAGCUGAGUGGACCCUCCCCUCCCAGCCAACCGCGGUACAUAGAGGCACUUGCUCUGGGGAAUUCCGUGCACGCCAGGCUGCAGCAGCGUCAGGGCUGAUACUCUAUGCACGGAGCAGACUAAAUGGGAACAUUUGGAGAGGAAAAUUGCCGUUACUGCAUCCACACAUGUUUGGAAUAUCUUAAACGUGGGGGGCAGGGGACUGAUAUCAGCCUCGUUUAAUAGCUCCGCUGGAAGCAUCCCCAUUCCACGGCGUUGACAAGCAUGGCCGCCCCGAAGGCACGCGGGAAGGAGCCCUGGGGACAUAACCACCACCUGAGAAUUACGCUCGAGUCAAAAUGUCAGCCCAGGGUACCAGGCAGUCGGCAGGAGCAUGUUCCUGACGGUGACCCCAUGCCGCCCGGCGUGGGGUUGCAUUAAAAGCCAAAUUACUGCUUUAUCUAUUGUUUUAAGAGGAAAGAAAAUAAACAUAGGCCUUUCUCAUCUGCCAACCCAAAUGAAAACGUCUGUCUGGCAGUGCAGGCGGAAUGCACGGCGUCUUGGACCCUCGCCCGCAGGGCCGAGACCCAGCCCGUCUCUCUCCGGGGCAGUGUGGAAACAGCCGCAGGGCACACCGUUUCCAGAGCCUGCCGCUGGCAAGGGCCCAGUCUACCCCCCACCAUGUGUGUCCAGGAGCUGAUUCCUCCAGAACCACUUUUAAAAUUGGGAAGUUGUUGAACAAAUUGGGCCCGUGUUCCUGUCUGUGACGUGGUGAUGUCGUCCUUAACUGCUUUCAAGGGGAGAUGCAAAAGAAAAUAGUAACUGCCGUGAAAGUGCACUUACUGUUGGUGCUUCCAGCCAGGCGCUCCCCAUCAGCCCUGUGGGGCAGGUUCUGUCGUUCAGCUGACAGUGCCCCGUGGAGAGUGUUUGUGGAUCGAAUAAAGAGAAGAGUGUUCUUGGAGGGAAUAAAGAAGCAGAGAGAUGAAGAAUCAGGGGGAGACAGAUACAAAUCUUCACUGAGCUCUGUCAAGGCCCUGCAGGGAUGGAGGUGCCAUAUGUCACGGAUGGGGACCGUCUUGAGGCUCACUGAACUGGGCACUUGGUAGAUGCACAUUCUACAAGGGACACCGUGAGCCACCUCUCUGGGGACAUGAGGGCCGGAGAUGAUGCUUGGGUCUGAUCUGGAGCUCUGCCUUCUCCGAACCCAUCUCAGGAGCCUCAAGCCCCUUGGGGCCUGGAAUUUUCUGCUUGUUCUCCUCUGGCUUCCUCUCCUGCUUCACAUGGCUCCAGAAUGCCCCCCCUUUCUUGGCCAAGGCCGAGCCCACCGGUGUGUGACCCAUGGGGGCCUCGUUAGCCUGUGACACCAGCACCUUCCCCCACCCCGCAGAGGAAGGCGGGAGCCUGGGAACUCAGGAGCCCCCUCCCUACACGGAUGCUUUCAAGGACCCUGACUGAGCACUGGGGCUCCCCUCACGGCGCGGGGCCAGCCUCAGCUGCGAGACUGGGGGAGCUGCGUGGAAACAGGGGCGACGGUGAACAGAAACAAAACUACAAGAGGAACAACACAUGCUCCUCUCGCGUGUGGACGUUUUGGACAGCGAGCGAGCCCGGGGCGGGGUGCAAGCGCGUGUUUAAGGGGUGUGGGAAUCCCCGGUCUUCGUCCUCAAAUGCUUUGACUGUCGUCAGGCUAUUUGCGUAAUAAAUACAUGUCACGAAACCCUA
Choloepus didactylus (southern two-toed sloth) is the source of this 3087-nucleotide long non-coding RNA. RefSeq lists it as uncharacterized. The record is from RefSeq and is a predicted model, not a curated record. The transcript is spliced from 3 exons. NCBI's taxonomy places the organism in Eukaryota, Metazoa, Chordata, Mammalia, Pilosa, Megalonychidae.